UAGGGAAUCUUCCGCAAUGGACGCAAGUCUGACGGAGCAACGCCGCGUGAGUGAAGAAGGAUUUCGGUUCGUAAAACUCUGUUGUUAGAGAAGAACAGCGCAUAGAGUAACUGUUAUGCGUGUGACGGUAUCUAACCAGAAAGCCACGGCUAACUACGUGACAGCAGCCGCGGUAAUACGUAGGUGGCAAGCGUUGUCCGGAUUUAUUGGGCGUAAAGCGAGCGCAGGCGGUCAAUUAAGUCUGAUGUGAAAGCCCCCGGCUCAACCGGGGAGGGUCAUUGGAAACUGGUUGACUUGAGUGCAGAAGAGGAGAGUGGAAUUCCAUGUGUAGCGGUGAAAUGCGUAGAUAUAUGGAGGAACACCAGUGGCGAAGGCGACUCUCUGGUCUGUAACUGACGCUGAGGUUCGAAAGCGUGGGUAGCAAACAGG
Molecule: ribosomal RNA, 429 nt
Filed under: Bacteroidota bacterium
Lineage: Bacteria; Pseudomonadati; Bacteroidota
Description: Bacteroidetes bacterium partial 16S ribosomal RNA
Rfam family: Bacterial small subunit ribosomal RNA
Source: RNAcentral